RNAcentral lists this unclassified non-coding RNA (355 nucleotides) under soil metagenome. RNAcentral describes it as "partial contains 5.8S ribosomal RNA, internal transcribed spacer 2, and large subunit ribosomal RNA". The stretch from base 1 to 120 matches the Rfam family "5.8S ribosomal RNA", at positions 35 to 154 of the family's 154-position model. The record is from RNAcentral.
GAUGAAGAACGCAGUGAAAUGCGAUAAGUAAUGCGAAUUGCAGAAUUCAGUGAAUCAUCGAAUCUUUGAACGCACAUUGCGCCUGCCAGUAUUCUGGCGGGCAUGCCUGUCCGAGCGUCAUUUCAACCCUCGAGCCCCUCCGGGGGGUCGGCGUUGGGGAUCGGCCCUCCCUCGCGGGGGCCGCCCCCGAAAUGCAGUGGCGGUCCCGCCGCAGCCUCUCCUGCGCAGUAGUUUGCACAACUCGCACCGGGAGCGCGGCGGGCCCACGCCGUAAAACGACACAACCUUCUGGAAAUGUUGACCUCGGAUCAGGUAGGAAUACCCGCUGAACUUAAGCAUAUCAAUAAGCGGAGGA